RNAcentral lists this ribosomal RNA (583 nucleotides) under uncultured bacterium. Its description in RNAcentral is "partial 16S ribosomal RNA". It matches the Rfam family "Bacterial small subunit ribosomal RNA", at positions 355 to 1375 of the family's 1533-position model. The record is from RNAcentral.
UGGGGAAUUUUGGACAAUGGGCGAAAGCCUGAUCCAGCAAUGCCGCGUGUGUGAAGAAGGCCUUCGGGUUGUAAAGCACUUUUGUCCGGAAAGAAAUCCUUGGCUCUAAUACAGUCGGGGGAUGACGGUACCGGAAGAAUAAGCACCGGCUAACUACGUGCCAGCAGCCGCGGUAAUACGUAGGGUGCAAGCGUUAAUCGGAAUUACUGGGCGUAAAGCGUGCGCAGGCGGUUUGCUAAGACCGAUGUGAAAUCCCCGGGCUCAACCUGGGAACUGCAUUGGUGACUGGCAGGCUAGAGUAUGGCAGAGGGGGGUAGAAUUCCACGUGUAGCAGUGAAAUGCGUAGAGAUGUGGAGGAAUACCGAUGGCGAAGGCAGCCCCCUGGGCCAAUACUGACGCUCAUGCACGAAAGCGUGGGGAGCAAACAGGAUUAGAUACCCUGGUAGUCCACGCCCUAAACGAUGUCAACUAGUUGUUGGGGAUUCAUUUCCUAGUAACGUAGCUAACGCGUGAAGUUGACCGCCUGGGGAGUACGGUCGCAAGAUUAAACUCAAAUGAAUUGACGGGGUCAUAGCUGUUUCCU